Molecule: long non-coding RNA, 12671 nt
Filed under: Elaeis guineensis (African oil palm)
Lineage: Eukaryota; Viridiplantae; Streptophyta; Magnoliopsida; Arecales; Arecaceae
Description: long non-coding RNA (EGUI_LNC019330)
Source: RNAcentral
UCCUCGUAUAAAGAGCUAACAGAAAAUAAAUAAAAAUAAUUAUUUACAGCUGACAUAGCAGUCUUUUGAAAUAAAAAAAAAUAUGUUAUGACACUCAAAAAAAUUUUUGUUGUCAUUUUUGUCCUAUUAACUAAAUAGAAUGAGUUGCAACAAUUUUGUCCCAUUUUCAAAGAAAGAAUAAGCGAAACCGAGGAUCAAAAAAUAGAAGGAAAUGGCGAAGGAAAAGAUAAAUCAUGAUGAGAAUUGUUAUUAUGGAAUGAGAGCUCAUAUUCACACAUCUUGGACCGGUACAAAUCUAAGAAGAAGAUUUCUUAGAUGUAACAGAUACGGGGUUUGUCUCUCUAUCUCACUCCCAUAUUUAUUCUAUUUGUUCUGUAUAUAUUUGAAUCAACUUUUAUCUAUUUAUUUUGUAUCAUGCUUAAAUCAACUUUUAUGAGCAUAUGUUUGAAUUCUUGUGCGAUCAUAUUUGUUCUGUAGAUGAGCAUAUUUAGGAUGAGGGAUGGGACUUUAACGCGACGUUAGUAAAAAAUUGAAUCUUUUAAAUGCAAGGCUCAUAUUUGAAUUUUUGCUUUAAAUUUUUUUCUUCUGAUCUAUAAAACAUCAAGGCAAAACAAAUUAAUUUAAGGUCUAUCCAUAAUAAUAUUGUAAGAUUUUUCGAUUAUGCUACAGAUGGUAUAUUCUUUAUAUGAUUAUUAUCAGCAACACAUAAGGACUAAUUCUAAUUAUUUGUCAGCAACACUUUUCUAACCAAUUCCACUAAAGGUGAAGAACUUGUACCAAAGAUAGACAUCAUUGUCUAAGAACUGAUUGCCAUUAAACCAUGGUUUGUAAGUAAAAAACAAAAUAUUCUAUCAUAAAGAAUAUAAAUAAAAAUAAUAAUAAAUAAUAGAGUGAAUUUUGAUGCAUGCACCUUGCAACAGGACCAUAAAAUUCAUAUUGUCAAAUAAUUUUUUUUACCUCUAUUUUUUUCGAAUAUUUGUUGCAAAAGUUGCUGGUUUCGUUACUAAUAGAGAUAUUUUUGGUUUGAUGAUUACAUUUUUUUUUUUUUAAUUUUUAUUGGUGGGGGGUGCAUGUAUUGAGAUAUAAGCAAUAUCUUAGCAUAUUCUGUUAGCCUCCAUCCAUGGGGACUAACAAAAAGACUUAAUUAAGACUAAAAGAAAAUUUAAGGAAUUUGGUUGCUACAAUUAAAACUAGAGGGAGUAAAGUGAAAUCUAGGGUAAACUAGAGGGAUUAAUAUGAGGUUUACCGCGCCCACAAUAAAAAAAUUAUCCCAAAUUCCGCGAUCGAUUGAAGAUUUCCACCGGCGAUUUCUUAUUCUCUGCGACGUGUUGAGCUGUUGUUGAGCUGGUCCAACAUGACGUGGUGGACCUGGUUCAACCAAUAAUUUUUCCGUUCUUACAACCACAGUCAAGUGAAGUGUCGGUCUUCCACCCUUCCCCACUCCCCAUUCUCACCUCCCUUUAUAUACACCUCCAUAUCCCUUCUUCCUUCCUCCUCCGCCUCCCUCUUUCACCAGCCCCUCUUCCUUUCUACCAGCCAGCGGGCGGGAGUUCUCGGGUCCCCGAGAUCUCGCCGGAAUUCUCCCCGUGAUCGCCAUAAUCUGCUAGCAUCUGGCGUUGAUCUCGCCGGAACCAUGGCUUCCGGCAGAUACAUGCCCUACUCCCCCUCCCCCUCCACCGCUCCUCAGUCCCCUCACAUCUCCGGCAUACGCUCCGCCACAAGCGCGUUCGUCGAGCAGGAGAAGUAGGCCUCUUCCUUCCGCCUAAAACCCCGAGUUUUGGUUUGGAACGAAUAACCUCUAAUCUUGUGCUUUCCUCUCAUCUUUCUUGUUUUUCCAAUUAUUUUGCGAAUAGAUCCAUGGAGUUGCGGAUCUUUCUCGUUUCUUUAGUAGCAGUUGCUUGCUAUUAAAAAUUUGAUCUUGUUGCGAUCUACGCAUGUUAAUCGUGUUUUGAAAUUUGACCGUCGGUGUUCUGGCUUUAUUGCAUUUGUUGAUGCAAAGUGAUCGCAGAUCACGGGCAAAAAUAUUUGCAGCUCUUUCGUGCUCAUUAGUCUUGCAUCGCUGUUGUUUUCAGUUGCGUUUAACUGCGUUUUUCUGUAUCUAAUGGAAAAUAGAUGGUUUUGGUGAACUCCGUAAAUUGGAAACACUUGGUUUGGGAGAUGAAUUUCCUGUUUUAAGUCUUUGAGAUGGUUGAUUAGCAAGAUAUGAUUUUUAUGGUUUCCUAUGUGAGAUUCCCUGGUUUGAUGCUUUUCUUUUGCGAGAUCUGUUACUUCUUAUUGAAAUGAAUGCUGGCAUAGAUGGCUUCUUUGUAUUGAUAUUUUCUUUCUCUUUUUAAUAUAUUUUCAAGGAUCUACCUCUGACCUUGUGAGCAAUGUUUGAGUUAUGUGCUCUAUCAAUCAGGAUCCUUAGUCUGGGAGCUGAAUUCCUUGUGUGUCAGGACUUUGGAACGGUUUAUUAGCAGGAUUUAAUUUUUAUUUUUUUCUUGUCUGAGAUUCGCUAGUUUUAUGCUUUUCUUUUAUAAGAUUGACACUUCUGAUUGAAAUGAACUUUGGUUGGAUGGCUUCUUUUUCUAAUGUGCUUGUGAAGGAUCUAAAUUUUGGGGCAUUUGUGAGCAUUUUGAGUUUUGAAUUCCUUUGCAUACAUUUAUUAAAUAAUUUUAUAUUUGCAAUCCCAUCUGCUUCUAUUGAUUAUGGUGAGAUCUGUGAGUUAUUGUUUCAAGCUGCUAAAGGGAAAUAUUUUUAAGUUCUAUUUUCAUAUACAAUGACAACUUCUUGUGUAGUUGUGUCAAGCAUCAUGAAGAAGGCUUUCAAUUAUGAUGCCACGAGUCACUUUACGUGGCAGAAGAAAAAUAGAAACUGAUAAAGAUGCCCCAUUUUUGUGCAUGCAUUUUUAUUAUUCUUAUAAUAACUAAAUAAAGAUAGAUCCAAGGAAUCAAAUAUCGGUGUGGGCUGGUCUAUACUAGCCAUACCAAUGUGUGUCGGUCCGUAUUGGUUGUACUGGAUCAUAUCGAUAUGAUACCUGUAUCCAUACAAGGGGCUUAAAAGUACCACAUUGACACGUGGUGUUUCACAUCCAAUUUGUCAUUGCAACACAUAGAGGUAUUGUACUAGUCUGUAUCAUACUAAUAAGGUACUGAUGUGGGUACCAAUACUAGUGCUUUAAUCCUUAGAUAUAUCUAAGGCCAGAGCAUCUAUUGAAGAGACAAUUUGAAUUUAAUUUAAUUUUUUUCUGGGUGCUUAUUAGUCUUGCAUGAGUGCUUUUUUCUUCAUUUACCGUCAAUUGUAUGUACAUAUUUUAGCUAUCUAAUAGAAUGAUAGAUGAUAAAAUGGAGUUAUAGACGUCAAUUGUAUGUGCAUAUUUUACUGUCAGUUGUUAUUAUUAAUAUUGAUAUCAUUGUCAAAAAUAUUACUAUCUUUAUUAUUGUUUUAUUGUGCUGAGUGUAUUUUAUUAGUUAAAACAUACUAACAAUAUAUUGCGUCUGCAUAUGCAGCCCACAUAUUGCACUAGUGCUAUGCGAUCCCUUGAUCAGUCACAUGUCACAGCCACUUUAAACUAUUGCAUGUAAUAUCUAGAGAGAUGUAAAACUAUAAAGCAUCUGCAAAAGAUUUCUUUUAUUAGCUUCAAAAAAUAUUUCCUCAAAGAAAGUAAACUUUUUUUUUUUUUUCAAAAUUUCAUUUUGUUCACAUUGUUGAGCAUAUAAAUUCUUUGUUUACUUCAAAUUUUGAAUAUUCUCUUUAUUUACUAUUUGAUGAAGCAAGGACAGCUUGGUGUUACUUAAAAGUUGAAAUCUGAAAUAUGAAAAAACUAUAAAAUACAAUAUUGUUGUGAGACAUUUUUCAUUUAAUAAUUACAUUUGCUCUAGGAUUGGACAACCUUUCUUUCAUCAUUAAAGAACUAUGAAUGAUCUUAAGGAACCUAUUGGUUAUUUGAUCAAUCAUAUGGAGAAAUGUUUUAUUGCAGAACUAUCAAUUCAUUCCCAUAUUUGUGAUGUAUUGUGUUACCUGGACACCUGCAUCUGACUUCAAAAAUCCAUAUCCAACAUGUAUUCAAGUUGGAUAUGUGUUUGACACUUGGAUACUUAUGAAUACUUAUGAAUAUCUAUGAUUGUCACCUUUAAAGAUUGGUAAAAAGUUAAACUCUUCCAACAAUGAGUUUGAUCCUCUCCGUAUUCAUUAUUUUUAGUGAUUGACCAAGAAUUUUAGUAUUGAAAUAACUUUGCAGAUGUUGUUUUGAAUGAGAAAUAUGUAUAUUGAAAGAACUUAACAAACAAUAUCUUAAUAUUUAUUUUUAAUAUUAAACAAACAAUAUAAAAUGUACUAGUAUUUAUGGUUAAGUUAAAAUUAAAAUUUAUCCUAUGUAUCCUUGUAUCUCCUUUUUCCUUGUUGUUGAGUCAGAUGCUUGGAUAUGCAUCCAAAUCCGAUUCUCAUAUCCAUGUCCAUGCAACAUUGGUCAUGUGAUGUUGUAGAAGGACUCUCGAUGGUACUGCUAGGUUAUAAAAGGAGUGACAAUGAUGUUUGGAAUCAAAGGGUUAUGGGGGCAAUUUUGGCAGAGGGUCCUAAAGUAGUAGUUAUUCUUAGUGUGAGUCCAGAAGAGUUGAUAGAAAGAUGCUUUUUAAAAGAAUGACAACACUUUAUGUAGGUGUUAAAUGAUGGUACUUAGGGUUCAAUUGAGGGAUGGAGAUCUAUGUGUGUUAAAAUUUCAUGUGGCAGAAUCUAAAUGGAAAGAACCAAUGUUCAUUAUUGAUUACUAAAAUGGGAGAGACAACAGUAAUGGGUAAAUCUUGGCUCUAAACAUGGCAGUUGAAGAAACCCUAUAAUAAUAAAGGAAAAAAAACAGAUUUUGGAGAGAUAUACAUCCUAAAUGGGGAGGAAGAGGGGAUGUAGUUGCUGAUGAUGACAUUGGACCAUGGGAGAUAUAAGGGGGUUCAAUGGUUAGAACAUGGUGAUCUCUGAAUCAGCUGUGACAAUAGAAGAAACAAACACCAUUGAGAUGGGUGAAGAUGAAUGCAUGGAUAAGAAUGAAAACAUAUGCAAUUCAUCUGUAUCUGUGAAACCAGCCAGUUAUUCUCAUUCUGAAUAGUUUUGGUGAAAUUCAAAUUUUCUUUAGACAAAUAUGUUCCUCUAAAUUUGAGGAAUCUUUUCGUUGCAUAAUCAAAGUUCAAUUCUUCUUUUUCCCUCAUAUGAGCAAAUUUAAUUUCAUGAUUAAUAAAUUUGUCCACUGUUUGCAUGAGAAAAUUCCGGUAUUCCAUUUCCCCUUUUCUUUAUGGCAUAAAAAAGUUAAUGGUGAAAUUCACUGUUUUCCUUCUCUUGUUCUAACCUUCCUGUGUAACUAGCUCCAUCCCCCUUUCCCUUUCCUUUCGUCUCUCCAUUUCAACAGCCUUUGGCCCCAUUUCAACAGCCUCUCCACACAAGGAGCUCUUAGGGCACUGGGAUUUUGCUGGAAUUCUCCCCAUAAGCACCACAAUCAGCCAGAAUUUGGAAUUGCUCUUGCUGGAAUCAUGUCUUCCAGAAGGCACAUCGCCAUUCCCUGUCCCCAGCCACUGUGCCCCAUUGCCCUCUUACCUCUGGCAUGCUCUGUGCCAACAUCAUGCUUAUUUGGCAGGAGAUUGGCUGUUCCAUUCUCCCAAAACCCCACGUUUUGCUAAAUAUAAAAAGCUUUGUUCUUCUAUUUUUCUCCUUUAAUUAGAAAUAGCAAUCUUCAUUGUAUCUUAAUUAGCAAUUUCUUGCUGUAAGGUCUUGUUAUUAAGUUUGAACCAUGUUCCUGUCUACAUAUCCUAGUACAGUUCAGAAGAUUUGGAUGUCAGGGAUCAGGGGUAUGUUUUUAUUUCAUUGUUAAUGCAAAGAGGUUGCAGAUUAUGGGAAAAAUUUGACAAUUUUUUCAUGCUUAGUAGGCUUACAUCAUGUUUUCCUUCAAGUUCCUUUAAUUGAGUAUCGCCUAUAUGUAGAAUUUUAGUUGUCCACUAGAUGGUUCUGGAGUUUUUUUUCCCCUCUAAUUAGAAUACUUGGUCUUUUGGAGGUGAAUUUGUGCUUCGAGGCUUUUGAAUAGUUUAUUAGAAACAUUUAAUUUGUAUGCUUUCUUGUUGAGAUUCUCUAAUUGAUGCUGUUCCUUUACAAUACUGAAUACUUUUGGUGGGAACUACUUUUGGCCUAGAUAGUUUUUUCUUUCUGGGAUCCAAGUCUUUUGAUAUUGUUAGCUUGUUUGCAUAAUUUAACUCUCUUGUAAAGCGUGCUUAAAUGGGGUAGGUAAAUUUCUUCACAGGUAUCUAGCAGAGUUGCUCGCAGAGCGUCAGAAGCUUAGCCCUUUUACGUCAGUACUGACCCACUGCUAUCGAUUGCUGAACCAGGGUGUGUUUUCAAACAAUAUAUUUUUUUCAACAUUUUGGCAAGAUCUAUUAAAAUGAAUUGUUUUGGUAUUCGCAACUCAUGACUCUUGCGUUUUCUUUUUCUGAUGCCAUGUCCUCCCACAGCUUCCCUAGUCCGACUUAAUAAACUGAAUUUUUCUCCCAUCAUUGUUCUUGUUGUGUGGAAAUAUGGACAUGUUUCAAGCAUAAAGUACAUUGUGUUCUAUAAUCUGAAAAUUGUAAAGGUUCAAUUGCAGUUCAAAGAAUGAUAGCAUGGCCGAUCUGUUCUCCUUAUUAGAUGGUGCUUUCUUGUUUCUAAUUGUAUGAGUGAUUGUCUCUGUAGAAUGUGGCAGAGGGAUCACAUAUUCAACUAAUAUAUAUGAAUGAAAAAGGCAAAUAAUUGAAGUAUCUUGAAUGCACUCAAGAGUUUAUGUUUCAUAAAUUAGAUUAAUAUUUCUUAGUUGAGAAAGGAGUUGCUUAGAGGCUCUAGUGCUGUGAAGAAAUCAGAUAUAGAGGUGUUAUUUGCAUAAAAGAUAUAUAGAUUGUUUUGGGCAGAUAAUGUCCUUAUAAGGCACUGUAUGAACAUUUUUUGCCUUGUCGAUGGUUGCAAGUAAGGUGGUUCAUGUGGUGAAAUUUCUUGUUUAUCCUGAGGCCCAUCUUGGCAUGUGAUCUUGCAUAUGACAAAGAAUGAAAUAUUUGUUGGAUUCAUGCUUGUAGCUGAGCCUGUUGCAAAGGAACUGGAUACCUGACACUUUGAGAUUAUCAGUCAUACCCAGCAUAUACUUAAACAGAAAGAAGUUAAGGUGUUUGCCCCGGUCACUUUGCAACAUUAAAUGUUCAUAAAGAAUUACCUGUGUCAAUAGAACUACGGUAUGCGAUAUAUGCUAUUUUGUGAUUUCUUGUUAAUGCAAUGACCAUGAGGAACUUUAACGCAUAUGAAGAUGUUAGGAAUGGUGCAUCCAGAGUUUGGGUCCUGUGCCUAUUGUGUACUGUGUGAUGAUUUGUAAACAGCUCUCUUAAUCUUGAAAAUGGAGGCCCUGUCAAAACUUCUAUACUGCCACAUUCUGUUGCGAAAUUUUGGCAGUUUGUCUCCUUGCUAUGGAUAAUCCUAGAAAUGGGUAAUGCUGAUAAUAAUGAAUCAGGUAGUUCUAUGGCUAUGAACAUGAUUUUGGGUCUCUUGGAGUCUUAAGGUCGGACAUUGGUUGGGUGAAGGAAAACCAAGCCAUCGAUAAAGGGGUGAAUCUAAAAUAGAAGGCCCUAAGGGGUUCAGUGAUUUUAUAGUGCUAGAUAUAAGGAAGACAGUUUGAUGAAGAAGGGAUGUAAAGUACAUGGAGCUCAGCCAUCAAGCACUAUGUGGGAAACGAUGAUCAAGAAGGCUACAAAUGGGCAAACCAAAGUCAUGAUGUUCAAAUUUUAGAUGGACUCAUCAAAUGUUCAUUCAAUAAUCUUGAAAAUCUGAAAUAGGCGAGGGAUGCUCAAAAACCAUAAAAAAAUUCUGACAUAAUUAAAAAACUAUCAAGAGUUUGUGUGAAAGAUUUAAGAACAAGAAUAGGUGAAAUGGAAUCUUUGACAAAAAAAUGCAACAACCUAGCAAUAUAGCCAGGAAUGUGUACCUUAGGAUGCAUAAUUAACUAAAACAUGAAAUAUUUAGAAAUGUAUGCUUGACUGCAUAUAAAUUGUGUACCUUUCUUUUCUUCUAGUUGUAUAUAUCUUCAAAUAAGUUGCAAGGAGUAAGUUUGGUCUGACUCCAUGGAAAUCAUGAAUCACUAAUAUAGCUAGAACCAUUUCCCUUCACAUAUCUGAAAAUUUGGACUAUAUCAUUAUAAUUACAAAUUAUAUGUUAUAACAUGUAUAUGGUAGGCCAAAACCAAAAUUCGGAUGAUUUCAAUCAUGUAUUAAUGGAUGCAUCUUUAUGGACCAACAACCAAGAAUACAGAAUUUAUGCUCCAAGCAUCAUUUCCCUGAAAUCAGAAUAAGAUAGCUUCAGAACUAAGGGGGCCUGUGCUGGUUUCAUGUCCAAAUAAGGCAGCAAACCUAGUACAUUCUUUAGAGAACUAAAGAAAUAGAAAUUUAGAGCUUCAUCAAAUAAUGGCCUACAAUUGGAUUCUGCAGUGUUUUCGAGGUUGGUGGUAAGGGCCUUGGAAGCAUUGAAGAAUCAUGAUAUCAACAGAUGGUUUUUAAGUACUGACCCUUACUAGCUGGUAUGGCGUAUACUGGCAUUGAUAUAGGGCUCCAUAUGCCCCUGUACUAGCACCUAGUACAAGUGUUAUGCUGACUUCAAUAAUGUACCAUGUGUUGGUACGGCAAUGGCCGUAGUAAUAGGUGGUGCUUGGCGACCCAAGUGGGUCACUAUGGUGAUUUUAGAUCAUUAGUGAUCCUUAUCCUAGAGUAAUUUGAUCCUUGAUGAUCUAAGAUCAACAUGUUUGGUAUGUUAUAUUCUAGUGAUUAAAGAUCUUCGGUUAUCCAUGAGUAACCUAUUUGGUGUGCUAUGGGAAUCCGAGAUCACUUACCAUGUAAUAAUAGCAAAAAUACCCAUGAUAUAUUCCAUAUCUUUUGCAACUACUAAACUGAAUUCUUAAAUAAAUCAUAGGAAAAUACAAAUGAAUGGUUAGUGGUAGAUCGAUGCAAGUUAUAUGUAGAAUUAUUUAGACAGAUGAGUUAUAAUUUUGACAACAAAAUUAUUAAUCCUAUAAAAAUAUAUUAAUUAUUAUCAUAGUAUUAAUUAAUAAUUUCAUUUAUAAUAUAUUAUCAUUUUAUGUUGAUAUUUAUUUUGAUUAGAAAAAUAAGGCGAAUGGAAGUAAUUUAUUAAAUAUUGCAUAACAUAAAUAUAAAGUACAAUAAUGCAUUUCUACUAUAAUUAUAAAAAUGAAUAAUAAUAUAAUUAAUAAUAUAAUAUAUAUCACGAAUACUAUAUAUAUAAUAUCAAUAUAAUAAAAAAUAUUUAAUAUUGAUAUAAAAUAUUAAUGGUAUAUUGAUAUAUCAAUUUUUCUUAUUGGAUUGUGGGGUACUUUUGUCCUUGAAUUUCAGCACAAGAUCGCUACUCAUGAUGAUAUUCAAAACUGGUCCUCAAGGAUGGGUUUAAGACCAUUGAGUUGGGUAGAAAUUUAGGAGUCGGGUGAUUUGGUAUCACUGCUAUGUAGGAUUACUGUGGUGCAACCAAACACAGUGUCCGAUUACCUCCAUCCACAUCAUCCUUGAUCUUAGAGUCAUCACCCCAUAACAAAUGCCCUCAUAAGGUAUUGAUAUGGGCUUUAUGCUAGAACUUAAAAACAUUGAGCGGGAGCAAGCAUUGAUUAGGUUGCAAAUAUGCAAUAUACUAUUCUUUUGGGCAAUAGCCUGUUAUAAAUGAUUGCCAUGGGAACAUCAUCUUCUUUUGUAUAAUAUGUCAGUGCUAGCAUCAUAAAAUUACAAUAUGUAAGAUAUCAAUAUAAAUAUAUACAUUAGUAUCACUAAUAACGCAUUGUUGUGCUAUAGUAAUAUGCUAUUUUUGUGGGCAGUAAUGAGGCUGAGGGUGAGCCUUGGCGCCACAAUAUGAUUUCUCCAUAGUGACCUGGAGGUCACGGGUUCAAAACCACCUCGUUGUAUGCAGGGGUAAGGCUACAUUACAUCUGAUCUUUCCUAGACUCCGCAAUGGCGAGAGCCUAGUACACUGCCUCCCCUUAUGGGCAAUAGCCUGAUAUAAACAAUUGCCGUAGGAAUAUUUUCCUCUCUCAUAUAAUAUGUGAAUGCUGGCAUUGUCAAAUUAUUACAUGUAUGAAAAUAAUGCAAAAAAGCAUGCAAAAAAGCAUACAUCAAUAUCUCUAUCAAUGCAUUAUUCUGCUAUAUUAAUAUUUUGUAACUAUCAAGCUCUCCAACUUAAUUUGAUAAAGAUGUAUCUUCAACAAUGCAUUAUUCUGCUAUACUGAUAUUCUGUAACUAUCAAGAUCCCAAACUUAGUUUAAUAAAGUUUCCUGCAAAAGAUUAUAAAAGGCUGUUUUACCCGAUUUUCUCCAUUAGGUCUUCUUGAUAACAUUUUAUGUUUAAAGAAUACUCUUAUAUAACAGCACGUCAGUAAUCCAUCUGGUAAAACUAAGGAUUAACAUUGCUAACAUGCAAGUGCUAUUGCUCCAGUAUGAGCACACCAUGUUCAACUGCAACUUUCAAGAUGCAGAUUCCGAAGCACUAAAAGACUGCAUGUGAUUCAUAUGAGAUGUGGUGGCGAGGUUAUCUUAUGGUGGAAGGAAUUGGGAACUUUUGUUUUGUUGGAUAUUACUGGGCUUAAUUGGCAAUAGCAAAAAACUGAAUUUCGUACUUUUAUAGCCGCUUCAGGUGUUGGGAUUUUUUUUAAUCUAGUUGUUUUAGAAAACUCAGGAGGAUUUUAUAAUGUUAAUUUUUUUUACUUAUUAUUAUCACAGUUGCUAUAUCUAGAUUUUUGUCAUCUAAUUGAGAAGUCACGCGAUGUUCAAAAUCACGUCACCCUCAAGUGAAAAACAUAAAAAUUCACUGUCAGAUAUUUUUUUUUAUAUAAAAUUAAUAGGCUUGUAACUUCUGCAGAGUGCAAAUUGGUGCUUUUGGUCCUAAAUGUGUUUUCAAAGUUUUUUUCUUUUGCCAUUUUCAUUUACUCUUAGACAGUGCCUUGUCGUUAUAUUAGGAUAAUGAAUGUUUUUCUAAGUCAUAGCAUACAUAGCAUAAGGUUUGUAUGCAUUGGCAAAUAUCUAGUUCACAUAUAUAUGUCGGAUUGUUUUAUUAUGCAAUGGGAUUGAACAGUCUUAGUUGUGCUACUCUUUUUUGUAAUUUAAGGAACAGUUUUAAUAUUAGUUAAUAUAGUGCAUUAUUUCCCAUGCAGCAAUUAAAGCCCUUCCAUUUUUUAAGAAUGGUAUUACAUAUUUCUAUAUACAUGAUAUUUCCUUAUCUAGCAACCUAUUGGAUCUUCAACAAGCGAAAUCUGAGUUUUCAUGACUUUAGUUUUUUUUUUCUUUUUUUUCUUUUUCCAAAAUUGUAAUUACUAUAUAUUUAGACUGAUGUAGUACUGAUUUCUGGGCACCAAUUCAAUUAACCCAUGCCUGUCCAUUUACUGCUAACUAAUUUCUUAACAAAAGCUAACUGGUACAUCUUAUGCCUGGAAUUAAAUUUGUGGAGCAGAAAUUUUGCGUGUAACCACACUGUUGGGGAAUGCCUCUCUUUUAGAUCAAACUGGGCUUGAACAUGGUAGCCCGCUGACCACUGGAGGACUGUUUUCAAAUGGAGGAGCAGCCGAUAUGAAUGGGUGGGCAUCACCAUUUCAACCAGAAGUACGGAUACUAACCGUUAACAUAACUCUUUUUUGCAUCUAAUUUACUGCUCACCAGAAGCGUUUCUGACAUAAUUUCUUGCAAUUCAUGCUAACCUGAAUUAACUGUCUUGAUUGAGCGGUUGCAUUCUUGACUUAGCAUUUACAGUUUGCUGACUUAUAUUAACUAUCUUUUUUUGAGCAUCUGUUCCUUGAUAUAGGUUCUUACAUUCAUUUGAAGUUGAAAGUAAUUCUUGUAAUGUAUCAAAAAAAAAAAAAAAAGAAGUAAUAGUUCUAAGCAUGAUCCUAUGGAAUAGAAUAUUAUUUCUCUUACUGGUUUUGUAACACAAACAUUUAGAACCAGUGAGUCUGUUGACCUGGUGUUAAGCAUAUUUAUCCUUCACCCCUUUUCUUCUGUUACAUUCUCUAACUUAUAUUAUGGCUUCGUGCUGCCUGUCAGAACUGUAUCCCUAAAUGUUAGGUUUGGUUGGCCAUGAAGUGCAGCAGCGUAUGUAGUUACUUUCUGAACUACAGUAGUAGGAUCAAGUUUUGUUAUCUUAGUAUUGGGAUAGCCAAUUGCUUCUCUUUAUAGCCUGAAUUUUUGAUAACUAUGUAGUGGCUAUUUUUGGUCUUCAUUCCUAGUCCUUUUGCAAGGUGAACCUGAGCCUUACCAUAUGUUUUCUAGAAGUAGAAUGCAUCUGAGCCUUUCUUUCUUAUGCACCAGAAUUAAUAUGCUUUGCGAAUAUGAGCUUUUCUGUCAUCUUCUUCUCACGUGAUUUUGAGCUGCAACUGUCUUUUUAACCUUAAUAAUGUAUAGUUAUGUUUGUACAUGCAUAUCCGAUACUUGCACUCAAUCUUGUAGAAGCCAAACAUAUGAAAGACACAUCCUGAUAUGGAUAUAUACUUCUUUUAAAUCUAUUUGUUGUUCUUCAUAUUAUUUUAUGUAACAACACCUUUACUAAAUUGCAGAGGUUAGGAUUGUUACAGCCUUCAUCAGCACAUGGCUGGCUUGGACCACAAGGCAGCUCCUCAGGUCUCAUUGUCAAAAAAACUAUCAGGGUUGAUAUUCCUGUGGACAAAUACCC